Molecule: unclassified non-coding RNA, 358 nt
Filed under: soil metagenome
Description: partial contains 5.8S ribosomal RNA, internal transcribed spacer 2, and large subunit ribosomal RNA
Rfam family: 5.8S ribosomal RNA (bases 1-120)
Source: RNAcentral
GAUGAAGAACGCAGCGAAAUGCGAUAAGUAAUGUGAAUUGCAGAAUUCAGUGAAUCAUCGAAUCUUUGAACGCACAUUGCGCCCGUCAGUAUUCUGGCGGGCAUGCCUGUUCGAGCGUCAUUACGCCCCUCAAGUCCCCUGUGGACUUGGUGUUGGGGAUCGGCGAGGCUGGUUUCCCAGCACAGCCGUCCCUUAAAUUAAUUGGCGGUCUCGCCGUGGCCCUCCUCUGCGCAGUAGUAAAACACUCGCAACAGGAGCCCGGCGCGGUCCACUGCCGUAAAACCCCCCAACUUUUUAUAGUUGACCUCGAAUCAGGUAGGACUACCCGCUGAACUUAAGCAUAUCAAUAAGCGGAGGA